Long non-coding RNA from Rosa rugosa (rugosa rose), 1620 nucleotides. RefSeq lists it as uncharacterized. The record is from RefSeq and is a predicted model, not a curated record. Lineage: Eukaryota; Viridiplantae; Streptophyta; Magnoliopsida; Rosales; Rosaceae. The transcript has 2 exons.
UAGAGCAAAAAUCUGUCUCUACUGUUUUUCAUGGUAUCAGAGCAGGACACACGAUCUUGACUCUUCUUUAGUCUUCUCAACAACAAUUUUACAAAGCCACAAUCACCAUGGCUGGUGAUGGUGUCCCACCACCACCAUCCAAUUCAGAUAAGUCAAAAUCUGAUAUCUCAAAUCCAUUCUUCACUCAUCAUUCAGACCAUCCUGGAUUGGUCCUAGUCUCCAAACCAUUGAAUGGAGACAACUACACAGGUUGGAAAAAUGGGCUAUGACAUUAGCUCUCAAUUCUAAAAACAAGCUCGGCUUUGUGAAUGGUUCAAUCAAAGCUCCAUCAGCCGAAGCAGACCCAGAAGGAUAUGCGACCUGGUCAAGAUGCAACGUCAUGGUCCAUUCAUGGAUCGUUAACACAGUAAGUUCUGAAAUUGCUGACAGUAUCAUCUACUAUCCUACAGCUCAUGAGGUAUGGGAAGAUUUAUGUGAGCGUUUUUCACAAGGCAAUGCACCUCACAUAUUUGAAAUUCAGCGAGAUAUCGCUUCACUCAGGUUUCAGCAUACUACAUAAAAUUGAAAAGUUUAUGGGAUGAAUUGGCGUCUUAUUCAGAAGCACCACAAGGAACACAGACAGAUCAACAAAAGCUCAUGUAAUUCUUGAUGGGAUUAAAUGAGACUUACAGUGCGACCCGCGGUCAAAUCCUCUUGAUGAAUCCCCUUCCAAGUGUUAGACAAGCAUAUUCUGCCGUUGCAUAAGAGGAAAAACAGCGUUUCAUUGUGUCUUCACAUGCCGCGGCGGAGUCCAGUUUAAGCGCCGCCACCAUGGCUGUCUGGAGCUGCGUCAGGCCAAAUCAGACAGGCAGUAGAAGCAGUCGUGGUGACCGACCAACUUUUCAAACCGGUCGAGAUGCAGAACGUGGCUUCACCACUCGUUUUGGUUCAGGUCGAGGAAGGGGAAGGCCUCAUUGUACCUAUUGUGGUGAUCCAGGACAUUGGGUCCAAACCUGCUUUCACUUGAUUGGUUUUCCUCCAGGUCAUCCUAAGGCAAAGCAAGGAUCCGAAAAUUUCCCUAAGAAGAACACUGCUGCUCCAGUCAUGCACUCUCCUUCUACAAACCAAGUUACUGCGAUGGACAUUGUAGAAGAGGAGAAUGGAUCAACAAUUACUUCAUCUGAGGCCCAAUUCAAAAAGUUUUUAGCUACACUCCAACAAGCCCAAAAGCCCAAUCCAAAUACUGGCUCUAGUUCCAAAGCAAAUGCAGUAACGUAGCCAGGAUCUGGCUACGAAGAGGACGAUUGGUUUGGGUAAAGAACGUGAUGGGCUAUACUAUUUGGUGGCACUAGCGACGGAGAAAACCAGUAGUCCUUCCAUUACUAGUCCUUCCAGAUCAUCUUACAACCUUGCCAUUUCCCCUACCAAUCUUUGGCAUAAUCGCUUGGGUCAUGUUUCCUCUCCAUGUUUAAGUCACAUAGCAAAGAAUUUCUUACAUUUUUCCAUUCAGCCAAAUAAUGUUUGUCAUGUAUGUCCUUUGGCUAAGCAGAGUCGAUUACCAUUCAGUCCUAGUUCUAUUUCUUCUACAAGACCUUUUGAAAUAAUUCAUUGUGAUAUUUGGGUUCGUUAUCGACACCCUUC